Molecule: unclassified non-coding RNA, 526 nt
Filed under: Hevea brasiliensis (rubber tree)
Lineage: Eukaryota; Viridiplantae; Streptophyta; Magnoliopsida; Malpighiales; Euphorbiaceae
Source: RNAcentral
AAGACCAUGGAAUUUGAAACUGCUAUGGAGCGUUUUUGAGAAAAUGCUGGAACAUGGUUGUUCACCUAAUGCUAACACGUACGGGAAGCUUAUUAUAGGACUUUGCAAAGUGGGGCGCAUGGGAGUGGCCCAGAGCUUAUUUGAUCAUAUGCAUGAACGAGGAAUAUGUCCCAGUGAAGGUAUUUAUAAUUCUCUUCUCAACUGUUGCUGUAAGCUUGGAAUGUAUGGUGAUGCAGUGAGACUGGCAGAGGCUAUGAUGGAGGAUGGUCAUUUACCACUUCUAGAGUCUUUGAAUUCACUUGUCUGCAGGCUAUAUGAUGAAGGGAACAAAGUGAAGGCUAAAGUACUUUUCUGUAAUUUGCUUCAUUGUGGGUAUAAUUAUGAUGAAGUAGCUUGGAAAAUCCUCAUUGAUGGCUUGCUUAAGAAUGGCCUUACUGAUGGAUGCUCUGAAUUGCUGGGCAUCAUGGAGGCAAAGGGUUGCCAGAUUCAUCCGCAAACAUAUAGAAUGUUAAUUGAAGGACUUGAU